CGACGGGUGAGUACACGUGGGCAAUCUGCCCUUCACUCUGGGACAAGCCCUGGAAACGGGGUCUAAUACCGGAUAAUACUCUGUCCCGCAUGGGACGGGGUUGAAAGCUCCGGCGGUGAAGGAUGAGCCCGCGGCCUAUCAGCUUGUUGGUGGGGUAAUGGCCUACCAAGGCGACGACGGGUAGCCGGCCUGAGAGGGCGACCGGCCACACUGGGACUGAGACACGGCCCAGACUCCUACGGGAGGCAGCAGUGGGGAAUAUUGCACAAUGGGCGAAAGCCUGAUGCAGCGACGCCGCGUGAGGGAUGACGGCCUUCGGGUUGUAAACCUCUUUCAGCAGGGAAGAAGCGAAAGUGACGGUACCUGCAGAAGAAGCGCCGGCUAACUACGUGCCAGCAGCCGCGGUAAUACGUAGGGCGCAAGCGUUGUCCGGAAUUAUUGGGCGUAAAGAGCUCGUAGGCGGCUUGUCACGUCGGAUGUGAAAGCCCGGGGCUUAACCCCGGGUCUGCAUUCGAUACGGGCUAGCUAGAGUGUGGUAGGGGAGAUCGGAAUUCCUGGUGUAGCGGUGAAAUGCGCAGAUAUC
RNAcentral lists this ribosomal RNA (583 nucleotides) under Streptomyces sp. MBT55. Its description in RNAcentral is "bacterial SSU rRNA". It matches the Rfam family "Bacterial small subunit ribosomal RNA", at positions 100 to 698 of the family's 1533-position model. The record is from RNAcentral. Lineage: Bacteria; Bacillati; Actinomycetota; Actinomycetes; Kitasatosporales; Streptomycetaceae.